ACAGACGAGGAGCUUGCUCCUCUGACGUUAGCGGCGGACGGGUGAGUAACACGUGGAUAACCUACCUAUAAGACUGGGAUAACUUCGGGAAACCGGAGCUAAUACCGGAUAAUAUAUUGAACCGCAUGGUUCAAUAGUGAAAGACGGUUUUGCUGUCACUUAUAGAUGGAUCCGCGCCGCAUUAGCUAGUUGGUAAGGUAACGGCUUACCAAGGCAACGAUGCGUAGCCGACCUGAGAGGGUGAUCGGCCACACUGGAACUGAGACACGGUCCAGACUCCUACGGGAGGCAGCAGUAGGGAAUCUUCCGCAAUGGGCGAAAGCCUGACGGAGCAACGCCGCGUGAGUGAUGAAGGUCUUCGGAUCGUAAAACUCUGUUAUUAGGGAAGAACAAGUGUGUAAGUAACUAUGCACGUCUUGACGGUACCUAAUCAGAAAGCCACGGCUAACUACGUGCCAGCAGCCGCGGUAAUACGUAGGUGGCAAGCGUUAUCCGGAAUUAUUGGGCGUAAAGCGCGCGUAGGCGGUUUUUUAAGUCUGAUGUGAAAGCCCACGGCUCAACCGUGGAGGGUCAUUGGAAACUGGAAAACUUGAGUGCAGAAGAGGAAAGUGGAAUUCCAUGUGUAGCGGUGAAAUGCGCAGAGAUAUGGAGGAACACCAGUGGCGAAGGCGACUUUCUGGUCUGUAACUGACGCUGAUGUGCGAAAGCGUGGGGAUCAAACAGGAUUAGAUACCCUGGUAGUCCACGCCGUAAACGAUGAGUGCUAAGUGUUAGGGGGUUUCCGCCCCUUAGUGCUGCAGCUAACGCAUUA
This 811-nucleotide ribosomal RNA is filed under the name uncultured Staphylococcus sp. RNAcentral describes it as "SSU rRNA". It matches the Rfam family "Bacterial small subunit ribosomal RNA", at positions 69 to 862 of the family's 1533-position model. Lineage: Bacteria; Bacillati; Bacillota; Bacilli; Caryophanales; Staphylococcaceae. The record is from RNAcentral.